CUCACUUCCCUGCUUCCACACCUCAGGGAGGCCUCGGUGAUUUUGCCAGAGCCUCAGCCUCCAUCGCUCUGUAACCUGCGGGUAUUGGAUGAUUCGUAGCUAAGACUUCGCGACACCCUUGAAGCUGAGAAAUGGAACCCUUAACAUUCAGGGAUGUGGCCAUAGAAUUCUCUCCAGAAGAGUGGAAAUGCCUGGACCCUGCCCAGCAGAAUUUGUAUAGAGAUGUGAUGUUGGAGAACUACAGAAACCUGGUCUCCCUAGGUCUCUUGAUGGGAAGGACCAUUUCUGGACUACAGCUGAGAUUGAGAACUGCUUCAUAAUCCUCAGUAAGACCAAGCUGCAUGCACCAUUUUCUUGUCUGUAGCCAUGUCUAUGGGCUCUGGAGUUGGCCACCUGGGUGAGGGCCUGCUUUUUCCAAAUAACCCUUCCUUGGUCUUUGACUCCACUGAGGUUUCACAACCCUAACUAUAGGCAAGCACCAUUCUACUUAUGUUUUCUAGGAAUUUACUACUUAAAAUAUCUUAUGUAAGUGGAAUCAUACAUUGUCACUUUGUUAGUGUCUUAUUAAAUAAUGGUGUCUAAAUAGUGUCUUAUUAAAAUAAUGGCUUUAAGAUUU
This 616-nucleotide long non-coding RNA is filed under the name Homo sapiens (human). Its description in RNAcentral is "HSALNT0067745". The stretch from base 326 to 410 matches the Rfam family "mir-571 microRNA precursor family". The record is from RNAcentral. Lineage: Eukaryota; Metazoa; Chordata; Mammalia; Primates; Hominidae.